This 497-nucleotide ribosomal RNA is filed under the name uncultured bacterium. Its description in RNAcentral is "partial 16S ribosomal RNA". It matches the Rfam family "Bacterial small subunit ribosomal RNA", at positions 28 to 507 of the family's 1533-position model. The record is from RNAcentral.
GACGAACGCUGGCGGCGUGCCUAAUACAUGCCAGUUGAGCGCUGAAGGUUGGUACUUGUACCAACUGGAUGAGCAGCGAACGGGUGAGUAACGCGUGGGGAAUCUGCCUUUGAGCGGGGGACAACAUUUGGAAACGAAUGCUAAUACCGCAUAAAAACUUUAAACACAAGUUUUAAGUUUGAAAGAUGCAAUUGCAUCACUCAAAGAUGAUCCCGCGUUGUAUUAGCUAGUUGGUGAGGUAAAGGCUCACCAAGGCGAUGAUACAUAGCCGACCUGAGAGGGUGAUCGGCCACAUUGGGACUGGGACACGGCCCAAACUCCUACGGGAGGCAGCAGUAGGGAAUCUUCGGCAGUGGACGAAAGUCUGGCCGCGCAACGCCGCGUGAGUGAAGAAGGUUCUCGGAUCGUAAAACUCUGUUGGUAGAGAAGAACGUUGGUGAGAGUGGAAAGCUCAUCAAGUGACGGUAACUACCCAGAAAGGGACGGCUAACUACGUG